GGCUUAGUAGAAAAAACACCGGACUGGCAAUCAGAAGAUCUGAGUUCUAAUCUCAGCUGUGCCA
Molecule: transfer RNA, 64 nt
Filed under: Ornithorhynchus anatinus (platypus)
Lineage: Eukaryota; Metazoa; Chordata; Mammalia; Monotremata; Ornithorhynchidae
Rfam family: tRNA
About the family: Transfer RNA (tRNA) molecules are approximately 80 nucleotides in length. Their secondary structure includes four short double-helical elements and three loops (D, anti-codon, and T loops).
Source: Rfam by way of RNAcentral